This 665-nucleotide long non-coding RNA is filed under the name Fukomys damarensis (Damara mole-rat). RNAcentral's name for it is "lncRNA (ENSFDAG00000032976.1)". The record is from RNAcentral. Lineage: Eukaryota; Metazoa; Chordata; Mammalia; Rodentia; Bathyergidae.
GCUCAGUGAAGGCCUUAAGUUAAACCCAAGUUCAAACUCAGACUGACUGAGCACUUAUCCCAUGCAAGGAUCCAGAAUGAAUCAGAAACAGGUACAUAAGAAUUUCAGAGCAAGGGAGGUGCCCUCAGAAGCUGGCAUUGUACAGGAAAGUCCCUGCUGCUGGUCAGCUGACAUCUUGUCAUCACAUUCAGACCAGGGCUCAUCGCAGACAGGAGUUCAACAAAAGGACAGGAAACAAUGUCAACCCAGCCAACUGGGAUCUGUCCCACAGCCAAGAGAUCAACACAGUAAGGGUGCAGAGAAAGAAGGCCUCAUUCCCACAGACAGGCUGGCAGGAAGAAACACUGAGACAGCAAUGUGUGAUUUGGAUCUUGAAGGAUGUGUGCAAAGUCCAGCAAGUGGAGAAGGAAUUUAUUAGGACUUAAUAACAACAAUUCUACUCUCUUUAACCUGAGAGGGUUCUUUCACACUCAACAGCUGUUAUCCUUGAUAUCCUUUAUUUACCAGACAAAUCAGGCAGCUUCACGUGCUGGUGGCUCUCGAUAAUAACAGGAAAGGGAAAAACAAAAAAGAAUCCUCAUUAGUUUACAAGGUCACUAACCAUCCAUGAUCAUGGCUGGAAACUGCUAAUCCAAACAGCAAUGGUUUUGAGUAGAGGAGCAAGA